Prosopis cineraria is the source of this 1844-nucleotide RNA transcript. RefSeq lists it as uncharacterized. The record is from RefSeq and is a predicted model, not a curated record. The transcript has 10 exons. Lineage: Eukaryota; Viridiplantae; Streptophyta; Magnoliopsida; Fabales; Fabaceae.
CAAAUGUGGUGCCACUGUCUCAAGGAGUCCAUCUCUCGCUCCAAACCCUCGCCCAUCUUCGAAUUCAUCGAAAAACCUAAAUCCCUACCUCCAUCAAACGGAAAGUUGAAAUCUUUCUUGUUUGCGAGGAGGGAAGAAGGUGGCUAGUACGUAUGUCGCAGGUUAACGGGCUAAACAAUGCGGUUGGUCCCGAUUUCCAUCUGCCCGACGAGAUACUAUCGGUGAUACCCACCGACCCUUAUGAGCAGCUUGAUCUCGCUCGCAAGAUUACCUCCAUCGCGAUUGCAUCACGGGUUUCGAAGCUCGAGUUGGACAUGGGUCGGGUCAAAGAGAGGCUUUUUGAGAAGGACCGCAUAAUAUUCGCGCUCGAGGAGAAGGUCUCUGGUCUUAAUCAUGCGUGCCAGGAAGCUGAGUCCAGAUUGAAGGUCGCUCUUGAUGAGAAUAUAAAACUUACGCAGGAGAGGGAUCAAUUGGCAGUGACUGCAAAAAAGCUCAGUCGAGACUUGUCAAAGUUGGAAGCAUUUAAGAGACAGUUGAUGCAGUCCCUAAAUGAUGACAAUCAAUCUACUGAAACUGUUGAUAUUGGAACUUGUGACCAAUCUGUUCCAAAGGCAUAUCCUGAUAAGGGUGAAGAUGGCAGUGGCUGUGUGGUGCAUCAUUCAUAUAAUAGCUCUACUACUGUGUGUAACACAAUUGAUGAAGGUUCAAGAUAUGCUGGGAAUAGAUUUUCUAUUACUCCUUAUAUCACACCACGUCUUACUCCACAAGGAACUCCAAAGGUGAUCUCAACAGCUGGAUCUCCGAGAGGAUAUUCUGCAGUUGUAUCUCCUAAGAAAACUUCUGGUGCUACUUCUCCCACUAAACUCCCAUAUGAAGGACGGCAAUCACUAUCUUCUUGGUAUCCAUCAAGUCAGCAGUCGUCUGCAGCAAGCUCUCCUCCUCGUGCGAGAUCUCUUUCAGGCCGUACUCCAAGAAUUGAUGGAAAGGAGUUUUUCCGUCAAGCCAGGAGUCGUCUUUCCUAUGAGCAGUUUAGUGCAUUUCUGGCUAACAUUAAGGAAUUGAAUGCUCAGAAGCAAACACGAGAGGAAACUUUAAGAAAAGCAGAAGAGAUAUUUGGGACGGACAACAAAGAUCUUUUCCUAUCUUUCCAAGGAUUGCUCAGUCGCAAUGCACACUAGCACUGAAAGUAUUAUUGGCUGGGUAUAUAUAUAUAUAUAUAUUCAAGUUGCUCAUGGAUCAAACUUGACUUUCAAGUGGAUGUUCUAUGACUUGUUUCUUACUGUGAUCAGAAUCCAAGAUAGCAUUGAACUGAGUCAUAAAUUUGCGAUGACUGCAUGUUUCAUUCGUCUAGGCUUCAUUGUUGAUUGCUCCUGUUGAAUUCUAUGUAGAUAUAUCAUCUGCUGUUUGACAUGCUCAUUGCUCAGCAGGCUAAACUGCUAUUUGACUUUUGCAAAAUUUUGAUAUCUUCAACAUCGGCGUGAAGGGAAAUUCUCUUGGUUCAAUCUGGAAACUUUCUUUUCCUUCUAUUUGAUGGGCAAUUCACAAGAGUCUUGUUGUCUAUUUAACAUGGCUAAAUCUGAAUGUGCAGUAAUAUUGCACUGCCUACAAGAUUCAGGUGUAAAUAUUGAUGAUCUUGGGCUUUGGAUUCCGUAGUUGCCAUGACCGGAAGUUCCACUGUCUUUGAAAAAUAGGCUGACCAAACUAAGGACAACUAGACUUUAACAUGUCAUGCACAUUUUAUGGUAAUAUCUUUCUAGGACAUGGUUACAAGAUAUUAAUGAGUGCUUGAUGUAUUAUCUUUUAUAUAUUGAAUCCAAGAAUCUAACGAAGUGUGGUUUCUUUUA